UUUCCGUAGGUGAACCUGCGGAAGGAUCAUUCAUAAUAAAGUGUUUUAUGGCACCUUUUAAAAAUUCAUAUCCACCUUGUGUGCAAUGUUAGAUCUCGUCAAUCUUGGCGAGAUUUUUAUACAUCAACUCAUUCUUUAACUAAUUUGUCUGAAAAAUAUUAUGAAUACUUAAUUCAAAAUACAACUUUCAACAACGGAUCUCUUGGCUCUC
This 211-nucleotide unclassified non-coding RNA is filed under the name plant metagenome. Its description in RNAcentral is "partial contains small subunit ribosomal RNA, internal transcribed spacer 1, and 5.8S ribosomal RNA". The record is from RNAcentral.